This 396-nucleotide ribosomal RNA is filed under the name uncultured bacterium. Its description in RNAcentral is "partial 16S ribosomal RNA". It matches the Rfam family "Bacterial small subunit ribosomal RNA", at positions 523 to 918 of the family's 1533-position model. The record is from RNAcentral.
AUACGUAGGUGACAAGCGUUAUCCGGAUUUACUGGGCGUAAAGGGCGUGUAGGCGGUCUUGCAAGUCAGAAGUGAAAUUCCUGAGCUCAACUCGGGCGCUGCUUCUGAAACUGCAGGACUUGAGUGCUGGAGGGGAUAGCGGAAUUCCUAGUGGAGCGGUAAAAUGCGCAGAUAUUAGGAAGAACACCGGUGGCGAAGGCGGCUAUCUGGACAGUAACUGACGCUGAGGCGCGAAAGCGUGGGGAGCAAACAGGAUUAGAUACCCUGGUAGUCCACGCGGUAAACGAUGAUCACUAGGUGUCGGCGGCCAUAGGCGGUCGGUGCCGCAGCAAACACAAUAAGUGAUCCACCUGGGGAGUACGUUCGCAAGAAUGAAACUCAAAGGAAUUGACGGGG